UUUGGGAGAUGAUGAUGAAUGAAUUUAUCAGAUGCUACUGUUUUAAGGUGGCUUUGCUGAUUAAAAUAUAGAAUUUGCAUGUCAGUCUGAUCCCUAA
Molecule: small nucleolar RNA, 97 nt
Organism: Dendrobium catenatum
Lineage: Eukaryota; Viridiplantae; Streptophyta; Magnoliopsida; Asparagales; Orchidaceae
Product: small nucleolar RNA Z122
Exons: 1
Source: RefSeq, a predicted model, not a curated record